CUAAUGACCAGAUCUAUCCAAAUAUGUGCUACAAUUGAAGAUCCAUUGGAAACUGACCGAGUUAUAAGCAUCCAAAGUGGCAAAAUGAGGAAUUUUUUUGGAAAAGUUGAGAAAAUGUUAAGUCUUUGUACCUCGAAUAACUUUUUCCACAGACAACUUAGCACAUCGGCGUAGAAUAACUUUUGGUAGCUAAUGACCAGAUCUAUCUAAAUAUGUGCUACAAUUGAAGAUCCAUUGGAAACUGACCGAGUUAUAAGCAUCCAAAGUGGCAAAAUGAGGAUUUUUUUUGGAAAAGUUGAGAAAAUGUUAAGUCUUUGUACCUCGAAUAACUUUUUCCACAGACAACUUAGCACAUCGGCGUAGAAUAACUUUUGGUAGCUAAUGACCAGAUCUAUCCAAAUAUGUGCUACAAUUGAAGAUCCAUUGGAAACUGACCGAGUUAUAAGCAUCCAAAGUGGCAAAAUGAGGAAUUUUUUUGGAAAAGUUGAGAAAAUGUUAAGUCUUUGUACCUCGAAUAACUUUUUCCACAGACAACUUAGCACAUCGGCGUAGAAUAACUUUUGGUAGCUAAUGACCAGAUCUAUCUAAAUAUGUGCUACAAUUGAAGAUCCAUUGGAAACUGACCGAGUUAUAAGCAUCCAAAGUGGCAAAAUGGGUAAAAUUUUACGGGGCAAAGCCAAGGGUAAUUUUUUUUAUCCCUCUAAUAACUUCUAGCACAGACAUUGAAUCGCUUUGUGAUGUAAGGAUGAAAUGUAGCAAACAGUUGGAACUACCCAUAAAAUCUUAAAGAUAGACGAUCCAAUGUAUAGAACCGGAGUAAUGUGCGAUACAUGGUGAAAAAUCGAGUGAAAAAUUAACUAUAAACUGUUUUUCCUCAAUAACUCGAAUACUAGACGUCGGAGGGGGGUGCCGUAGAACAAUUUUUUGUAGCCCUUGAAAUUACCUUUCGAAUGAUAUAUAGUGGUUUUUUGGUCAAAAAGUGACCCCGAGACUAGUAACCCUCCAUACACAAAACCGCCUAAAAAGUUUUGGUUUUGCAAAAUUUUGAAAAGUGCGUCAAAAAAAUUUUUUCAAAAAGUACCAAAUCGUGAUCAGAACUCACUAUAGACCAUAAAAAGUGAAAUCCGAUGAUCAUUUGCAACACUUGGUCAAUCGAGAAAAAUUUCACUUUUUUACUAGAGUCGGGUACCCUGAACGAAAAAUCGCUCAAGUGAUGGUUUUUGGCCAAUAACUCGAAUACUAGACGUCGGAGGGGGGUGCCGUAGAACAAUUUUUUGUAGCCCUUGAAAUUACCUUUCGAAUGAUAUAUAGUGGUUUUUUGGUCAAAAAGUGACCCCGAGACUAGUAACCCUCCAUACACAAAACCGCCUAAAAAGUUUUGGUUUUGCAAAAUUUUGAAAAGUGCGUCAAAAAAAUUUUUUCAAAAAGUACCAAAUCGUGAUCAGAACUCACUAUAGACCAUAAAAAGUGAAAUCCGAUGAUCAUUUGCAACACUUGGUCAAUCGAGAAAAAUUUCACUUUUUUACUAGAGUCGGGUACCCUGAACGAAAAAUCGCUCAAGUGAUGGUUUUUGGCCAAUAACUCGAAUACUAGACGUCGGAGGGGGGUGCCGUAGAACAAUUUUUUGUAGCCCUUGAAAUUACCUUUCGAAUGAUAUAUAGUGGUUUUUUGGUCAAAAAGUGACCCCGAGACUAGUAACCCUCCAUACACAAAACCGCCUAAAAAGUUUUGGUUUUGCAAAAUUUUGAAAAGUGCGUCAAAAAAUUUUUUUCAAAAAGUACCAAAUCGUGAUCAGAACUCACUAUAGACCAUAAAAAGUGAAAUCCGAUGAUCAUUUGCAACACUUGGUCAAUCGAGAAAAAUUUCACUUUUUUACUAGAGUCGGGUACCCUGUACGAAAAACCGCUAUAGUUGCGGUUUUUGGCCAAUAACUCGAAUACUAGACGUCGGAGGGGGGUGCCGUAGAACAAUUUUUUGUAGCCCUUGAAAUUACCUUUCGAAUGAUAUAUAGUGGUUUUUUGGUCAAACAGUGACCCCGAGACUAGUAACCCUCCAUACACAAAACCGCCUAAAAAGUUUUGGUUUUGCAAAAUUUUGAAAAGCGCGUCAAAAAAUUUUUUUCAAAAAGUACCAAAUCGUGAUCAGAACUCACUAUAGACCAUAAAAAGUGAAAUCCGAUGGUCAUUUGCAACACUUGGUCAAUCGAGAAAAAUUUCACUUUUUUACUAGAGUCGGGUACCCUGAACGAAAAAUCGCUCAAGUGAUGGUUUUUGGCCAAUAACUCGAAUACUAGACGUCGGAGGGGGGUGCCGUAGAACAAUUUUUUGUAGCCCUUGAAAUUACCUUUCGAAUGAUAUAUAGUGGUUUUUUGGUCAAAAAGUGACCCCGAGACUAGUAACGCUCCAUACAAAAAACCGCCUAAAAAGUUUUGGUUUUGCAAAAUUUUGAAAAGUUCAAAAAAAAAUUUUUUUUUCAAAAACUACUAAAACGUGAUAAGAACUUACUAUAGACCAUGAAAAGUGAUAUCCGAUGAUAAUUUGCAAAAGUUGGUAACUAGUAAAAAAUUUCACUUUUUUACUAGAGUCGGGUACCCGUACAUUGAACAUUUUGUAUGGAAGACAACACUUGGUGCACCAAACUUUGUACCGCGAAUAACUUUUUUGCCCGGCAUCGGAGCGCAUUGUCGUGGAACAACUUUUUGUAGCGCGUCACGAGACGCAUCUAAUUCUGAAGAAAGAUCGAGAAAAUGUUGAAAAUUGGCCGAGUUAUGGCAGGUGAAAGAAAAAGCUUAGGUCGCGAAUAACUUUUUUGCCCGACAUCGGAGCACAUGAUCGUGGAAGACUUUUAGCUUGCAUUUGUCGAGAUCAAUCCAAAUCACAAAGAAAAUCCAAAAUCGGUCGGUAAAUGACUGAGAUAUGGGCAAAAAUAGGUUGAAACGUGCGCACCUUACUCGGUGGACACAAAUCGGUACACAAAACAGGUUUUUCGCGAAUAACUUUUGUGCCCUACGUCUGAGCACAUGGGUGUAGAAUACUUUUUGGUAGAAUUUCACGAGAUGUAACUAAAACAGAAGAAAUUUUGGAAAAAUGUUGAAAAUUCACCGAGUUACAUCGAAGAAUAGGUGCAAAUGUGAACAUUUUGUAUGGAAAACAACAGUUGGUGCACCAAACUUUGUACCGCGAAUAACUUUUUUGCCCGGCAUCGGAGCGCAUGGUCGUGGAACAACUUUUUGUAGCGCGUCACAAGACGCAUCUAAUUCUGAAGAAAGAUCGAGAAAAUGUUGAAAAUUGACCGAGUUAUGGCAGGUGAAAGAAAAAGUUUAGGUCGCGAAUAACUUUUUUGCCCGACAUCGGAGCACAUGGUCGUGGAAGACUUUUAGCUUGCAUUUGUCGAGAUCUAUCCAAAUCACAAAGAAAAUCCAAAAUCGGUCGGUAAAUGACUGAGAUAUGGGCAAAAAUAGGUUGAAACGUGGCACCGGGGUUGAACGGGGUUGAAAUAGGUUGAAAUAGAGGUUUUUCGCGAAUAACUUUUGUGCCCUACGUCUGAGCACAUGGGUGUAGAAUACUUUUUGGUAGAAUUUCACGAGAUGUAACUAAAACAGAAGAAAUUUUGGAAAAAUGUUGAAAAUUCACCGAGUUACAUCGAAGAAUAGGUGCAAAUGUGAACAUUUUGUAUGGAAAACAACAGUUGGUGCACCAAACUUUGUACCGCGAAUAACUUUUUUGCCCGGCAUCCGAGCGCAUGGUCGUGGAACAACUUUUUGUAGCGCGUCACAAGACGCAUCUAAUUCUGAAGAAAGAUCGAGAAAAUGUUGAAAAUUGGCCGAGUUAUGGCAGGUGAAAGAAAAAGUUUAGGUCGCGAAUAACUUUUUUGCCCGACAUCGGAGCACAUGGUCGUGGAAGACUUUUAGCUUGCAUUUGUCGAGAUCUAUCCAAAUCACAAAGAAAAUCCAAAAUCGGUCGGUAAAUGACUGAGAUAUGGGCAAAAAUAGGUUGAAACGUGCGCACCUUACUCGGUGGACACAAAUCGGUACACAAAACAGGUUUUUCGCGAAUAACUUUUGUGCCCUACGUCUGAGCACAUGGGUGUAGAAUACUUUUUGGUAGAAUUUCACGAGAUGUAACUAAAACAGAAGAAAUUUUGGAAAAAUGUUGAAAAUUCACCGAGUUACAUCGAAGAAUAGGUGCAAAUGUGAACAUUUUGCAUGGAAGACAACACUUGGUGCACCAAACUUUGUACCGCGAAUAACUUUUUUGCCCGGCAUCGGAGCGCAUGGUCGUGGAACAACUUUUUGUAGCGCGUCACGAGACGCAUCUAAUUCUGAAGAAAGAUCGAGAAAAUGUUGAAAAUUGGCCGAGUUAUGGCAGGUGAAAGAAAAAGCUUAGGUCGCGAAUAACUUUUUUGCCCGACAUCGGAGCACAUGGUCGUGGAAGACUUUUAGCUUGCAUUUGUCGAGAUCUAUCCAAAUCACAAAGAAAAUCCAAAAUCGGUCGGUAAAUGACUGAGAUAUGGGCAAAAAUAGGUUGAAACGUGGCACCGGGGUUGAACGGGGUUGAAAUAGGUUGAAAUAGAGGUUUUUCGCGAAUAACUUUUGUGCCCUACGUCUGAGCACAUGGGUGUAGAAUACUUUUUGGUAGAAUUUCACGAGAUGUAACUAAAACAGAAGAAAUUUUGGAAAAAUGUUGAAAAUUCACCGAGUUACAUCGAAGAAUAGGUGCAAAUGUGAACAUUUUGUAUGGAAAACAACACUUGGUGCACCAAACUUUGUACCGCGAAUAACUUUUUUGCCCGGCAUCGGAGCGCAUGGUCGUGGAACAACUUUUUGUAGCGCGUCACAAGACGCAUCUAAUUCUGAAGAAAGAUCGAGAAAAUGUUGAAAAUUGGCCGAGUUAUGGCAGGUGAAAGAAAAAGCUUAGGUCGCGAAUAACUUUUUUGCCCGACAUCGGAGCACAUGGUCGUGGAAGACUUUUAGCUUGCAUUUGUCGAGAUCUAUCCAAAUCACAAAGAAAAUCCAAAAUCGGUCGGUAAAUGACUGAGAUAUGGGCAAAAAUAGGUUGAAACGUGGCACCGGGGUUGAACGGGGUUGAAAUAGGUUGAAAUAGAGGUUUUUCGCGAAUAACUUUUGUGCCCUACGUCUGAGCACAUGGGUGUAGAAUACUUUUUGGUAGAAUUUCACGAGAUGUAACUAAAACAGAAGAAAUUUUGGAAAAAUGUUGAAAAUUCACCGAGUUACAUCGAAGAAUAGGUGCAAAUGUGAACAUUUUGUAUGGAAGACAACACUUGGUGCACCAAACUUUGUACCGUGAAUAACUUUUUUGCCCGGCAUCGGAGCGCAUGGUCGUGGAACAACUUUUUGUAGCGCGUCACGAGACGCAUCUAAUUCUGAAGAAAGAUCGAGAAAAUGUUGAAAAUUGGCCGAGUUAUGGCAGGUGAAAGAAAAAGCUUAGGUCGCGAAUAACUUUUUUGCCCGACAUCGGAGCACAUGGUCGUGGAAGACUUUUAGCUUGCAUUUGUCGAGAUCUAUCCAAAUCACAAAGAAAAUCCAAAAUCGGUCGGUAAAUGACUGAGAUAUGGGCAAAAAUAGGUUGAAACGUGCGCACCUUACUCGGUGGACACAAAUCGGUACACAAAACAGGUUUUUCGCGAAUAACUUUUGUGCCCUACGUCUGAGCACAUGGGUGUAGAAUACUUUUUGGUAGAAUUUCACGAGAUGUAACUAAAACAGAAGAAAUUUUGGAAAAAUGUUGAAAAUUCACCGAGUUACAUCGAAGAAUAGGUGCAAAUGUGAACAUUUUGUAUGGAAAACAACACUUGGUGCACCAAACUUUGUACCGCGAAUAACUUUUUUGCCCGGCAUCGGAGCGCAUGGUCGUGGAACAACUUUUUGUAGCGCGUCACGAGACGCAUCUAAUUCUGAAGAAAGAUCGAGAAAAUGUUGAAAAUUGACCGAGUUAUGGCAGGUGAAAGAAAAAGCUUAGGUCGCGAAUAACUUUUUUGCCCGACAUCGAAGCACAUGGUCGUGGAAGACUUUUAGCUUGCAUUUGUCGAGAUCUAUCCAAAUCACAAAGAAAAUCCAAAAUCGGUCGGUAAAUGACUGAGAUAUGGGCAAAAAUAGGUUGAAACGUGGCACCGGGGUUGAACGGGGUUGAAAUAGGUUGAAAUAGAGGUUUUUCGCGAAUAACUUUUGUGCCCUACGUCUGAGCACAUGGGUGUAGAAUACUUUUUGGUAGAAUUUCACGAGAUGUAACUAAAACAGAAGAAAUUUUGGAAAAAUGUUGAAAAUUCACCGAGUUACAUCGAAGAAUAGGUGCAAAUGUGAACAUUUUGUAUGGAAAACAACAGUUGGUGCACCAAACUUUGUACCGCGAAUAACUUUUUUGCCCGGUAUCGGAGCGCAUGGUCGUGGAACAACUUUUUGUAGCGCGUCACGAGACGCAUCUAAUUCUGAAGAAAGAUCGAGAAAAUGUUGAAAAUUGACCGAGUUAUGGCAGGUGAAAGAAAAAGUUUAGGUCGCGAAUAACUUUUUUGCCCGACAUUGGAGCACAUGGUCGUGGAAGACUUUUAGCUUGCAUUUGUCGAGAUCUAUCCAAAUCACAAAGAAAAUCCAAAAUCGGUCGGUAAAUGACUGAGAUAUGGGCAAAAAUAGGUUGAAACGUGGCACCGGGGUUGAACGGGGUUGAAAUAGGCACCUUACUCGGUGGACACAAAUCGGUACAUAAAACAGGUUUUUCGCGAAUAACUUUUGUGCCCUACGUCUGAGCACAUGGGUGUAGAAUACUUUUUGGUAGAAUUUCACGAGAUGUAACUAAAACAGAAGAAAUUUUGGAAAAAUGUUGAAAAUUCACCGAGUUACAUCGAAGAAUAGGUGCAAAUGUGAACAUUUUGUAUGGAAAACAACACUUGGUGCACCAAACUUUGUACCGCGAAUAACUUUUUUGCCCGGCAUCGGAGCGCAUUGUCGUGGAACAACUUUUUGUAGCGCGUCACGAGACGCAUCUAAUUCUGAAGAAAGAUCGAGAAAAUGUUGAAAAUUGACCGAGUUAUGGCAGGUGAAAGAAAAAGUUUAGGUCGCGAAUAACUUUUUUGCCCGACAUCGGAGCACAUGGUCGUGGAAGACUUUUAGCUUGCAUUUGUCGAGAUCUAUCCAAAUCACAAAGAAAAUCCAAAAUCGGUCGGUAAAUGACUGAGAUAUGGGCAAAAAUAGGUUGAAACGUGGCACCGGGGUUGAACGGGGUUGAAAUAGGCACCUUACUCGGUGGACACAAAUCGGUACAUAAAACAGGUUUUUCGCGAAUAACUUUUGUGCCCUACGUCUGAGCACAUGGGUGUAGAAUACUUUUUGGUAGAAUUUCACGAGAUGUAACUAAAACAGAAGAAAUUUUGGAAAAAUGUUGAAAAUUCACCGAGUUACAUCGAAGAAUAGGUGCAAAUGUGAACAUUUUGCAUGGAAGACAACACUUGGUGCACCAAACUUUGUACCGCGAAUAACUUUUUUGCCCGGCAUCGGAGCGCAUGGUCGUGGAACAACUUUUUGUAGCGCGUCACGAGACGCAUCUAAUUCUGAAGAAAGAUCGAGAAAAUGUUGAAAAUUGGCC
Molecule: long non-coding RNA, 7595 nt
Organism: Anopheles funestus (African malaria mosquito)
Lineage: Eukaryota; Metazoa; Arthropoda; Insecta; Diptera; Culicidae
Exons: 3
Source: RefSeq, a predicted model, not a curated record